CCCUUAGAUGUCCUGGGCUGCACGCGUGCUACACUGAUGUGUCCAGUAAGCACCUAACCUCUUCCGAAAGGAACGGGUAACCUUUGCAAAGCACAUCGUGAUGGGGAUAGAUUAUUGCAAUUAUUAGUCUUGAACGAGGAAUUCCUAGUAAGCACAAGUCAUCAGCUUGUGUUGAUUACGUCCCUGCCCUUUGUACACACCGCCCGUCGCUCCUACCGAUUGAAUGUUCCGGUGAGCUCUUCGGACUGCGCGGUCUGCAGUUUCUGCGUUCCGUGCGGAAAGUUGCGCAAACCUUAACAUUUAGAGGAAGGAGAAGUCGUAACA
Molecule: ribosomal RNA, 324 nt
Filed under: uncultured eukaryote
Lineage: Eukaryota
Description: partial 18S ribosomal RNA
Rfam family: Eukaryotic small subunit ribosomal RNA
Source: RNAcentral